UUACAUUAAAAAUUUAUAUUAAAACAAUUAUUCGCCUCAGGCUUCAUAAUUGUCAAAUAUAAAAUAUAUUUACAUUCAUCAGUUACGUUUGUCCGCUUAAGUGAGGUUAUUUGGUCCAUUGGGACUUCGAGUUCAGUGUCCUCUUCCGCUUAACGGAAGGGUGAGAUAAUUCAAGAUUUUUAGUUGUAGUUCUGACUGGUAUGCAUGCAGGGCCAUAACUAGACACGAUAAUUGGGGAUGUAUCUGUGUAUAUUCAUAUAUUCAUGUUCACAUAGUUACCGUAAAAACAAUCGUUUCCAAAAGAAAUCCGUCGAGCAGAACACAAAU
This is a non-coding RNA of Paramuricea clavata, 327 nucleotides long. NCBI's taxonomy places the organism in Eukaryota, Metazoa, Cnidaria, Anthozoa, Malacalcyonacea, Plexauridae. The record is from the annotation of a GenBank genome assembly.